UCCGAUAUGGUCUAGUGGCUAGGAUUUGCCGCUCUCACCGGCAAGGCCCGGGUUAGUACUAUCCUCAUCAUCCAUCCCAAUCACCUUUACUAAUAUCUCCAAAGGUUCGAUUCCCGGUGUCGGAA
This 125-nucleotide transfer RNA is filed under the name Bipolaris sorokiniana ND90Pr. Its description in RNAcentral is "tRNA-Glu (CTC) (tRNA-Glu-CTC-5-1)". It matches the Rfam family "tRNA". Rfam says of the family: Transfer RNA (tRNA) molecules are approximately 80 nucleotides in length. Their secondary structure includes four short double-helical elements and three loops (D, anti-codon, and T loops). The record is from RNAcentral. Lineage: Eukaryota; Fungi; Ascomycota; Dothideomycetes; Pleosporales; Pleosporaceae.